Long non-coding RNA from Gasterosteus aculeatus aculeatus (three-spined stickleback), 1874 nucleotides. The record is from Ensembl. Lineage: Eukaryota; Metazoa; Chordata; Actinopteri; Perciformes; Gasterosteidae.
AGGACACCUUGCAAACUCCUACCUAAGAGGUUUAAAGUGAAUUCAGCAGCAGAAACAAGUUUAUUUGUGACUGGGAAAAUAGUUUUGCAGUCAAAGUAAUGGAAAGCCAAAUACACAGUCAGUACAAUUCAAAACAAAAUGAUGUAUACAUUUAGAAAGUGCAAAUUAUUUACGAACAGAUCCUAGUUUUUAGGUCCAUUUAUUGAUUUCAUAUAAUUCCUACAUUCUUGGCUGUACAGGAAUGCACCUCUUAUACCUUCUGAAGUGCCUCAUGGAACAAUAAAAUAUCCGCUGAAAGUCUAUUUAUGAGUAAUUUACUCAAUGUUGUUUUGAGAAAACGGAUCGUACACGUUCUAACACUCUUAUUCUUCAGAAACCUGUUAAACCAGAGGGAGCUGUGUAAGUAACGCAUUGGAAUCUGUGGAUGAAGAUGGUGCCCGGUGCUCAUCUUCAAUAAGCGUACUUACGCUGAUCAGCCACAAAGCAACACAGACAGACAUGCAUCGCACACACACAGAAAAAGAGAAAACUAUCUAUAUAUAUUACCUUUUGUAGAAAUACUUUAAUCAAAUGUAUCAAUAGUUUAGUAUAGUUCCAAAAAGCCUCUCUUGUCAUUAAUCAGAAUAACAAAGAAUGUGUCUUUGCACGUGUUAGAGUUAACGACCACUUGGUAAUUUGUAUUUCUCUAUGACCGCGUCAGCGUGAGGACAUGUGAACGGGUCCCUUGUUGUUCUCACACAGAUGAGCUGCGUCUUUGUUGGGCCGUCCGGCUCACAGCUUCUCCGGUGAUGAGUUCCUCCGCAUGCAUCCAGCCUCCCUCAGUGGAAGAGGACCCCCACCAACUCCACCUCAUAAUUACCGCUAAUCUGGACAAUGAAGCUCACAUGAUUACCAUAUUAAUGGUCUUGAUGGUGAUGCAGAUAAUCCAUGGGGGGGUUCUAUGAAGGAGCAGGAGCCGGACUGUUGACAAGAACAAAACUUAACCCGUUUCAAUACUUCAUUAGCCUCUUUCUCCUUCGACGCUCUCAUUCACUCCGUUUCUCUCCUCUCUCCCUCUGCCAGGAGGCAGGAGGGUUCAGGAGGAAGGCGCUGACGCUCCACCUGCUGGCUCCCUGUGGCCGGGUGAUUGGGAGGCAUUUCUUUCUCCCUAUUCUUGAUAUUACUCCAGCUGUCUUGUUGCUCCACGUGCUUGGAUUUUAAAGGGAAGUGGUUGUUGAAGACAUAAGGCAGAUUUGUUGUGGUGCUCGUCCUCGCCCCUGAAGGAGAGGAAGAGGCGUCUGACUGCAGAGACACUGGCAUGGUGUCAGGAGACAGGCCUCAUUACCUGGGCGUAACCGGAGAUAGAGAACAAUGCCUCACCAGCCUGACCUGUGACCUUUUGCAGCCUGCCCUGUGACCUGCUGCCCAGGUACCAUCAGAAGAGGGCACGGAGGAUAGAAAACCAUGUGAUCGUUAGUGGAGUGGACUUCCUCUAUCACUAAGCAAGGUGGAGCGUGCUGCGGCCUGCAAGCAGGACCUUGUUUCAUGAGUGGCAACUGUUGUAGGGAUUAUGAGGGAAUACAAUAUCCACCUGGUUGGAUUUGAGUCAAAUCCCCCCCCACACACCAGGACAGAAAUAAACUCCAAUACUGUACUAAAGUACAAUUUUGAUGGUACUUUACUCGACUAUUAUAAUGUUAUUGCUAAAAAUAUAACAUACAUACCAAACAAUUGUGUGUAUAAAUCCAAUAAGUCAAUGUUUAACAAAACAAGUCACAGAAGUCCUUUUUCUGUGCAAUGUUUAUUUUUACACGGUACAUUUUGUGAUAAUACUUCUGAUAAUUAUCACAAUGUGUUUAUGUGAUAAACAAUGCAAUAGAAUAAAGCCACUUGAG